This 279-nucleotide ribosomal RNA is filed under the name uncultured Staphylococcus sp. RNAcentral describes it as "partial 16S ribosomal RNA". It matches the Rfam family "Bacterial small subunit ribosomal RNA", at positions 83 to 355 of the family's 1533-position model. Lineage: Bacteria; Bacillati; Bacillota; Bacilli; Caryophanales; Staphylococcaceae. The record is from RNAcentral.
CCUUUGACGUUAGCGGCGGACGGGUGAGUAACACGUGGGUAACCUACCUAUAAGACUGGGAUAACUUCGGGAAACCGGAGCUAAUACCGGAUAAUAUUUCGAACCGCAUGGUUCGAUAGUGAAAGAUGGUUUUGCUAUCACUUAUAGGUGGACCCGCGCCGUAUUAGCUAGUUGGUAAGGUAACGGCUUACCAAGGCGACGAUACGUAGCCGACCUGAGAGGGUGAUCGGCCACACUGGAACUGAGACACGGUCCAGACUCCUACGGGAGGCAGCAGUC